CCAAUUGGACAUAAGAAUGAAGAUACCAAAAAAUUACCAUCGCAGACGUGAAACAAUUGACAUCCAGCUUCUUCAUCUGCAUAGUAACCUGUUAACGCCCGCCAAUGACGCCUGCGCUUAUGAAUGAAAAACUAAAUAUAAUAGAAGAAAUGAAAUGAAUAAUGAUACUUUUAAUUAUUGUCAUUAAUAAAUUUAAUGCUUUAUUAAAUCAGCAUCCUGAAUAUUCAAAAAAUUUUUUAAUGACAGGUUCAAUAACGCCGAUGAAACUUAAGACUGAUUCACCGACUCAGUGACCUAUUACGAAAGCUAAUAAAAUGUUAGCAACAGAUAUUCCGUGAUAUCUCUUAGACUCGUAACGCAGUACCAUACUUAACAUCCUGAUGCACUUCGUUAGUAUACAUACACCACGUAUUUUCAUCCUUGACAUCGAUGGUAAAGGUGACAAAAAGCCAAAGUGAAUGACAUAUUUUAACUAAAUGCACACUACGUUCAGUCAAGACGACAUCACGUGUAUGAGUGUCCCAAAAAAUUCUAUUUGCAUCUCAUAGCGUGCUUGUAAGUUAUGUGGAGAUAGAGUUACAAAUAUAUUUUUUUCCAAGAGUUUAACCUUGAGGAGGUCACGAGAAAGGGUCUGAUGAUUUGAUAAAUGACCUCACCUCUGAAUUGACGCUCACAUAUAAAACUAGUCUGUGGAAUCCUCGUGUAAGAUGGAUAAUCAACUCCCGGUUCUCCAGAAUACUAUAUUGUUAAAAUUAUAUAGUCAAGAUGAUUAUAACAAGAAAAUUCUUACCAGUCUCUUCAUCGUACCGAUCGUAAAUGUCAAAGGAAUCAUCUACCGCCGAAAUUUACUUUCCACGUGAUCCGUCAACCGCUCGACGAUGCGCAUGGUUUUUCCUUGGAGUGUCAUCCUUAGUUAUAGGGUAAAGUCCAUGAAUUUUUUGACAAACGAUAAGAAUAACAAAAGCUACAAGAAUAAAAGAUACUAAGCGGAUCAUUUUCAAAAUUUAAUUUUUAACAUCGGCAAAUAAUAAUAAUAAAAAAAGCACUAUUAGGAUUAUUAGUAGUAUUAUCAGUAACAGUGAACAAAAGGAGUAUCGCGAUUCACUCAAUGACAAUAGAUCACUGCACUGUGACUCUCAAUACUCAUCUCCGGCACUUCUUCUGGGCUUCUUUGCCUUCUUACUACAACAACAACUACUAUAACAACAGCAAAUCCAGAGUCGUAGUAUAAGAAUCACGUCGCACCCAAGAUGGGAAGAAGGGAUGAGUAUAGGCAAGAACCCGAAGAAGAAUAGCGACGAGAUAUUAUUCAAAAAUUCCGGUAAAGAAAUAUUCGAUGACAGUUUUUGAAUCCAGUCAUUAAUUAUUUGUAAAGAAAAAAUGGUUGAUCAAAGGACAUUGAAAAGAAAAUAAAUGAAAGAAAGCCGAAAGUAAUUGUGUAUCCGUAGCGUUUUCUGACCAUUGAAAAAUUACUAGACACUUAAAUGUUUUUUUUUUUUUUAUCUCAAUUUAUAACUAUAAUUAUGGUCGAAUACAAAUAGAAAUAAAAAAUAAACAAACAAGGAAAAUUAUAAAAAAUUUCAACAUUAGUAAUAAUAUUCGAGUUUUAACAUCUCUCGAACUUUCUUUCCUUUGUGGUAAUUUUCUAUCUGUUAAACCAUUGUAAUUGUCCGAGAUUGAGAAAGCUUUUAAGAAACUUUAAAGUGUCCUAUUACAAGAUGGGAGUUUAAGACAUAAAACAAUGCUUAAAGAUAAUAAAUUUAUGGUUUAAAAAUCAUUGUAUUUGUAUCUCGCAAUUAAAUUAAAUGAACCCCUUUAUUAUAAUGUUACGCAAGCGAUAUCGAACUCGACAGUUGAACACUUGGAAGUAUAGAAUAAUCCUCGUCGCCAUAAUCAGUGUCUAAUGAAAUAGUUAAUCCUCAUCGUGAAUUAACCGAAAAGAAAUAUUACUUUUAUCUCUCAUCUUCCAUCGUCUUCAGUUAAACUUGCAAAAUUUAUUGCAAUGUUACAAGAUACAAAUAACCGCGAUCGACCUAUAUUUAUAUUUAUUAUUUAAUAUUUACCCACUGAAAUUACAGAACGAAAGUUUUUUAUUAAAAAAGAAUAACAUUUUAUAGUUAGCCCAUUUAUAGACGUAAUUAUGUAACUUUGAUGACAUUGUUUAAACUCUUCUUUCUUCGCUGACUCGGUUCGCAUUCUUUACUUUAUAUCAUGACUACAACAACAAUAAAAAUAACAAUAAUAAUAAUAAUGACGAUAAAUAAAAUCGUCCCUUGUGAUUAAUCUCAAGCAGAUACGACUUUCGCUUUCCACUCACGCAUAUCAAUAUUCUGACUUUGAUCUUCCUCAUUUUAUUAUUAUUGUUAUUUUAUCUUUUCUUCACUCGAUAAGACUGGUUGUUAUUUUU
RNAcentral lists this long non-coding RNA (2407 nucleotides) under Cotesia glomerata. RNAcentral's name for it is "uncharacterized LOC123264329, transcript variant X1". The record is from RNAcentral. Lineage: Eukaryota; Metazoa; Arthropoda; Insecta; Hymenoptera; Braconidae.